CAGUAGCCGCGAGAAUACAGAGGGUGCGAGCGUUAAUCGGAUUUACUGGGCGUAAAGCGUGCGUAGGCGGCUUCUUAAGUCGGAUGUGAAAUCCCUGAGCUUAACUUAGGAAUUGCAUUCGAUACUGGGAAGCUAGAGUAUGGGAGAGGAUGGUAGAAUUCCAGGUGUAGCGGUGAAAUGCGUAGAGAUCUGGAGGAAUACCGAUGGCGAAGGCAGCCAUCUGGCCUAAUACUGACGCUGAGGUACGAAAGCAUGGGGAGCAAACAGGAUUAGAUACCCCCGUAGUCCCUGUCUCUUAUAC
RNAcentral lists this ribosomal RNA (301 nucleotides) under uncultured bacterium. RNAcentral's name for it is "partial 16S ribosomal RNA". It matches the Rfam family "Bacterial small subunit ribosomal RNA", at positions 509 to 807 of the family's 1533-position model. The record is from RNAcentral.